GAUGAACGCUGGCGGCGUGCCUAAUACAUGCAAGUCGAGCGAACAGACGAGGAGCUUGCUCCUCUGACGUUAGCGGCGGACGGGUGAGUAACACGUGGAUAACCUACCUAUAAGACUGGGAUAACUUCGGGAAACCGGAGCUAAUACCGGAUAAUAUAUUGAACCGCAUGGUUCAAUAGUGAAAGACGGUUUUGCUGUCACUUAUAGAUGGAUCCGCGCCGCAUUAGCUAGUUGGUAAGGUAACGGCUUACCAAGGCGACGAUGCGUAGCCGACCUGAGAGGGUGAUCGGCCACACUGGAACUGAGACACGGUCCAGACUCCUACGGGAGGCAGCAGUAGGGAAUCUUCCGCAAUGGGCGAAAGCUUGACGGAGCAACGCCGCGUGAGUGAUGAAGGUCUUCGGAUCGUAAAACUCUGUUAUUAGGGAAGAACAAAUGUGUAAGUAACUAUGCACGUCUGGACGGUACCUAAUCAGAAAACCACGGCUAACUACGU
This 496-nucleotide ribosomal RNA is filed under the name uncultured bacterium. RNAcentral's name for it is "partial 16S ribosomal RNA". It matches the Rfam family "Bacterial small subunit ribosomal RNA", at positions 28 to 506 of the family's 1533-position model. The record is from RNAcentral.